CCCUUAGAUGUUCUGGGCUGCACGCGCGCUACACUGAUGCGUUCAUCGAGUUUAUAACCUUGCUCGGUAGAGUUGGGUAAUCUUUUGAACACGCAUCGUGAUGGGGAUAGAUUAUUGCAAUUAUUAAUCUUCAACGAGGAAUGCCUAGUAGGCGCAAGUCAUCAGCUUGCGUCGAUUACGUCCCUGCCCUUUGUACACACCGCCCGUCGCUCCUACCGAUUGGGUGUGCUGGUGAAAUGUUCGGAUCGGCCGUUUGUCGCGGUUUCCGCGUCAUGUGGCUGAGAAGUUCAUUAAACCCUCCCACCUAGAGGAAGGAGAAGUCGUAACA
RNAcentral lists this ribosomal RNA (328 nucleotides) under uncultured eukaryote. RNAcentral describes it as "partial 18S ribosomal RNA". It matches the Rfam family "Eukaryotic small subunit ribosomal RNA", at positions 1470 to 1796 of the family's 1831-position model. The record is from RNAcentral.